This 253-nucleotide ribosomal RNA is filed under the name uncultured bacterium. RNAcentral describes it as "partial 16S ribosomal RNA". It matches the Rfam family "Bacterial small subunit ribosomal RNA", at positions 524 to 776 of the family's 1533-position model. The record is from RNAcentral.
UACGGAGGGUGCGAGCGUUGUCCGGAAUCAUUGGGCGUAAAGGGCGCGUAGGGGGCGGGACAAGCGUGCGGUGAAAGCUCGGGGCUCAACCCCGAGUCGGCCGUGCGAACUGUUUUGCUUGAGCACUGUAGAGGCAGGCGGAAUUCCGGGUGUAGCGGUGGAAUGCGUAGAGAUCCGGAAGAACACCGGUGGCGAAGGCGGCCUGCUGGGCAGUAGCUGACACUGAGGCGCGACAGCGUGGGGAGCAAACAGG